AUCGCUUCUCGGCCUUUUGGCUAAGAUCAAGUGUAGUAAUAGACAAAGAAGAUGACUAUAGUGUCAGCAAGUUCUUCCGGUGUUCUUUAAUUUCUUUUCAUUUGUGUUAAAAUAUAUGUGGACAUUUAAGAUUUUUAAAAUUCACUCAGUUCCUUUCAUAAUAAAAGUGUAAGCUGAAGAUUAA
This is a small nuclear RNA of Peromyscus leucopus (white-footed mouse), 184 nucleotides long. RefSeq annotates it as U2 spliceosomal RNA. The record is from RefSeq and is a predicted model, not a curated record. The transcript has a single exon. NCBI's taxonomy places the organism in Eukaryota, Metazoa, Chordata, Mammalia, Rodentia, Cricetidae.